RNAcentral lists this ribosomal RNA (381 nucleotides) under uncultured eukaryote. RNAcentral's name for it is "partial 18S ribosomal RNA". It matches the Rfam family "Eukaryotic small subunit ribosomal RNA", at positions 592 to 976 of the family's 1831-position model. The record is from RNAcentral.
CAAUAGCGUAUAUUAAAGUUGUUGCGGUAAAAAAGCUCGUAGUUGGAUUUCUACCGAAGAUAGCCGGUCGGGUCUUCGACCUUGUAUCUGGUUUUGUCUUUGGUAUCCUCAUAGGGAACGUUUCUGCGCUUUAUUGCGUGGUGCGGUAUCUAUGACUUUUACUUUGAGGAAAUUAGAGUGUUCACGGCAGGCAAACGCCUUGAAUAUAUUAGCACGGAAUAAUAACAUAGGAUCUUCGUCCUAUUUUGUUGGUUUCUAGGGCUAAGAUAAUGAUUAAUAGGGAUAAUUGGGGGCAUCUGUAUCAACGCGUCAGAGGUGGAAUUCUUGGAUUGCGUUGCGACAAACUACUGCGAAAGCAUUUGCCAAGGAUGUUUUCAUUGA